Molecule: non-coding RNA, 132 nt
Organism: Bombina bombina (fire-bellied toad)
Lineage: Eukaryota; Metazoa; Chordata; Amphibia; Anura; Bombinatoridae
Product: small Cajal body-specific RNA 8
Exons: 1
Source: RefSeq, a predicted model, not a curated record
UGGGAGUUUGUAUAUACUACAGACAGAAGUAAGAUCUGUUCUGUUAUUAAAACUCCCUAGAAUAAUGUAUGCCUUUUGAUGACCGGGGCGAAAUGAGAGAAAUCGUAACGGACAGAUACGGGGCAGACAAUG